This 204-nucleotide ribosomal RNA is filed under the name uncultured Eubacterium sp. Its description in RNAcentral is "partial 16S ribosomal RNA". It matches the Rfam family "Bacterial small subunit ribosomal RNA", at positions 293 to 514 of the family's 1533-position model. The record is from RNAcentral. Lineage: Bacteria; Bacillati; Bacillota; Clostridia; Eubacteriales; Eubacteriaceae.
UGAGAGGGUGACCGGCCACAUUGGGACUGAGACACGGCCCAAACUCCUACGGGAGGCAGCAGUGGGGAAUAUUGCACAAUGGGCGAAAGCCUGAUGCAGCGACGCCGCGUGAGCGAAGAAGUAUUUCGGUAUGUAAAGCUCUAUCAGCAGGGAAGAUAAUGACGGUACCUGACUAAGAAGCACCGGCUAAAUACGUGCCAGCAG